Molecule: ribosomal RNA, 492 nt
Filed under: uncultured bacterium
Lineage: Bacteria
Description: partial 16S ribosomal RNA
Rfam family: Bacterial small subunit ribosomal RNA
Source: RNAcentral
AGUGAACGCUGGCGGUAGGCCUAACACAUGCAAGUCGAACGGCAGCACAGUAAGAGCUUGCUCUUACGGGUGGCGAGUGGCGGACGGGUGAGGAAUACAUCGGAUUCUACUUUUUCGUGGGGGAUAACGUAGGGAAACUUACGCUAAUACCGCAUACGACCUACGGGUGAAAGCAGGGGAUCUUCGGACCUUGCGCGAUUGAAUGAGCCGAUGUCGGAUUAGCUAGUUGGCGGGGUAAAGGCCCACCAAGGCGACGAUCCGUAGCUGGUCUGAGAGGAUGAUCAGCCACACUGGAACUGAGACACGGUCCAGACUCCUACGGGAGGCAGCAGUGGGGAAUAUUGGACAAUGGGCGCAAGCCUGAUCCAGCCAUACCGCGUGGGUGAAGAAGGCCUUCGGGUUGUAAAGCCCUUUUGUUGGGAAAGAAAAGCAGCAGGUUAAUACCCCGCUGUUCUGACGGUACCCAAAGGAUAAGCACCGGCUAACUUCGUG